Molecule: long non-coding RNA, 1096 nt
Organism: Manduca sexta (tobacco hornworm)
Lineage: Eukaryota; Metazoa; Arthropoda; Insecta; Lepidoptera; Sphingidae
Exons: 3
Source: RefSeq, a predicted model, not a curated record
UAUACCAUUGUUUCAAAGGUGAAAGUUUCAAAACCCUUCCGCAUUCGAGGUACCAGGAAGAAUAGAAUUGUAACAAAAAAGAGAAAGUUAGUAAAGGUAAGGGAAAAAAAGAUUUGUGCAAUAUUGACCAAUAGCCGGGCUGGAUACUGUAACUUUCUAAUUUUUGUUAGAACAUAUCUUUUAACUCAGCAUCAUUUGCACGGAAGCGUUCAAGAUCGUGAAGUGAUGUUUCUAAACUGAUAAAAUGUUAUGUGGAAUAUUUAAGUGAUCAAUUACCAUAUCGUGUGUAGUGGUGAAUAAAAAUAGUUUGGCUGUGUGACGUCAAAGAGUAGCUUCAGAAAAAUCAAGAUUAUGUCACCAUUACUAUGAAGACACGUGAUUUCAUUAAACACACCACAGGAAAGGUCGGAGAGGGCCCGGCUCACACGUCGCUUCUACCUACAUAUUUUAUUGACCCCGCACGACACACAAGCACCAAUGACGUCGAGACAUAUCUUCAGAUAUUGCUGGAGCCUAAGGAAAACCAAACGCCGAGUACCCAAGAUGUUUCUUAUCACCAUACUCAGGCAAACUACAUUACAAUAAAUUCCCUUUAUUUUCAUUGCGAAUGUACCAAUCCGCCAUAUUUUCAUAAUUUUAUAGUAGGCUUGAUACCAUGCCAACUCACUGAUAUCUCGCUCCUAAAACACAACCGCUAUCGAAAGCGAUAAAAUUAUGUAGAGUAUCACUGCAAAAUAAAGAAGUACUGUGUUGUUAUUGCAACCCGAAUUCAAUUGAAGAGUCUAACUAGUGUAUUAUGAUGGUUAAGAUGAGUUUUACACUUCUUCAGAUGUAUUAAUGAGCAAUAUUCGAUAUGUAGUGUAUUAAAAAACUUUAUAUAUGCAAUAAUUUUGCGGAUUCUAAAGCGAUCUGAUUGCCGAGAAAUUUGCGAGUUAAAAUGGUAAGGUAACGCGUCUGCUUUCCAUUAAAACAUUAAAUACAUGAAUGUUUAACUCUGUGAAUUCAUUAUUCGAUUAUUUGACUGAAUAACUUAAAUGUUCUGCGAAAAAAAUAUUCAUUACAUGGAAAUUUCUCUUUUAAAAUAAGAAAUAUUUAU